GUGGGGAGGAGGACGUGCCCGGAGGAGAACCGCCGCGCUGGGAGGUCCGGGAGAUGGCGCGGCGAGGGCGGAGGCGGGGGCGGGAGCGGGGCCUGAGCUCGGUUUAACGGCGGGGAAUAUGCGCGCGAGUAGUAUGCGGCGGCGGGGGAGGACAAGUGCGCGGCGGCGAGAAGGCGGCGGAGGUGGCGGAGCCGGAGGGGGAGGUUGGGGGAUAUCAUGUGGCUUUGGAACGCGAGGCAACGGGGGAUGGGGGAUUCGGAGGCUGAAACGGACACGGCGG
RNAcentral lists this long non-coding RNA (280 nucleotides) under Hordeum vulgare. Its description in RNAcentral is "long non-coding RNA (HVUL_LNC016798)". The record is from RNAcentral. Lineage: Eukaryota; Viridiplantae; Streptophyta; Magnoliopsida; Poales; Poaceae.